AUUGAACGCUGGCGGCAGGCCUAACACAUGCACGUCGAACGAUUGGCGGACGGGUGAGUAAUGUCUGGGAAACUGCCCGAUGGAGGGGGAUAACUACUGGAAACGGUAGCUAAUACCGCAUACCAUCGGAUGUGCCCAGAUGGGAUUAGCUAGUAGGUGGGGUAACGGCUCACCUAGGCGCCGAGCCCUAGCUGGUCUGAGAGGAUGCCCAGCCACACUGGAACUGAGACACGGUCCAGACGCCUACGGGAGGCAGCAGUGGGGAAUAUUGAACAAUGGGCGCAAGCCUGAUGCAGCCAUGCCGCGUGUAUGAAGAAGGCCUUCGGGUUGUAAAGUACUUUCAGCGAGGAGGCGUUACUCGCAGAAGAAGCACCGGCUAACUCCGUGCCAGCAGCCGCGGUAAUAC
RNAcentral lists this ribosomal RNA (406 nucleotides) under uncultured bacterium. Its description in RNAcentral is "partial 16S ribosomal RNA". It matches the Rfam family "Bacterial small subunit ribosomal RNA", at positions 30 to 526 of the family's 1533-position model. The record is from RNAcentral.